UCGAUUUUCUUUGAGAUUUUCCAGCCAACUGAGCCCUCUAACAUGUUUUUCUAUAGGGAAUACGACCAAAACCAGUCACAACCAGCCAAAACUGGCCAAAAUUGGCUAGGCCGGGGUGAACCCACACCGUGGGUGGCGACGCCAUGCCGAAACCCCAGAAUUGGCUAAAAAUUAUUUUGGACACUGAUUUUGACUUUUUAGGGUAUUUUUACGUGUGUGACAAGUGUUUUAAAUUCCACA
Molecule: long non-coding RNA, 240 nt
Filed under: Carica papaya (papaya)
Lineage: Eukaryota; Viridiplantae; Streptophyta; Magnoliopsida; Brassicales; Caricaceae
Description: long non-coding RNA (CPAP_LNC013942)
Source: RNAcentral